CUGGUAUUUUGGAACCUCUACGACGACGUUGUGAACGGGAUUCUGUUCUUGGUGCCGCUAGUUUCGAGGAGUUGAGCCCAAGGGGAUUCUUGUCACACUCGGUAUCAUUCAGUUUCCUUAGUAUCUCAGGAUGGAGGAUGUUCGAAAUUCUUCAAUCCUUGUAGUGGUGAGAGGAGUCUCGCAUCCACAGUACUGGUGGAGAGCGUUUGGAUGUACUGCCAUACUUGGUAUCAUUGUGAUUACGAGGGUCUAAGGUAUAUGAGUUUCCGAGAGCUCUGGUUAUGUGUUGACGAAUGUGAUACAAUGGACGGGUAGUGUUAUUGCUAGGAGUUGAGUGGUCAACUUUACUCCUUCUAUCUGUGGACUCGAUUAAAUAACUGGAAAAUCUCGGGAGUUCUUACUUGCGAAUUCGAGUAGUUACCUAGAAUUAUCUUCCAGCAGAUGCAUGAUGUGAGGAUGGGGUUCGACAUCUAGUGGACUCGUUUGUUCACGGUCUUUCUUAUAGAGGGUAGUCAAAAUAUAUGUCAUCACAUAUGCUCCGUCAAGCCAUGUAGAUCGCUGCGCCUAGGGAGCAUAUUCGAACAUCAUUUGAAUAUGACAAUCCAAUGUAUGAUCGAU
Molecule: long non-coding RNA, 618 nt
Filed under: Hordeum vulgare
Lineage: Eukaryota; Viridiplantae; Streptophyta; Magnoliopsida; Poales; Poaceae
Description: long non-coding RNA (HVUL_LNC007366)
Source: RNAcentral